UCCGACCUCAGAUCGGACGAGAUUACCCGCUGAAUUUAAGCAUAUAACUAAGCGGAGGAAAAGAAACUAACAAGGAUUUCCCCAGUAACGGCGAGUGAAGCGGGGAGAGCCCAGCACCGAAUCCCUCAGUGUCACGCUGACGGGAACUGUGGUGUGUGGGACGCCACCAGUCGCACCGGAGGGUACCGAAGUCCUCCUGAUCGGGGCUUCACCCAGAGCGGGUGUAAGGCCUUUGCUGGUACCUCUCUGUGCGGCCGCGAGCGUCUCAGGAGUCGGGUUGUUUGGGAAUGCAGCCCUAAGCGGGUGGUAAACUCCAUCUAAGGCUAAAUACUGGCACGAGUCCGAUAGCGGACAAGUACCGUGAGGGAAAGU
RNAcentral lists this ribosomal RNA (372 nucleotides) under Mastus violacea. Its description in RNAcentral is "eukaryotic LSU rRNA". It matches the Rfam family "Eukaryotic large subunit ribosomal RNA", at positions 1 to 364 of the family's 3401-position model. Lineage: Eukaryota; Metazoa; Mollusca; Gastropoda; Stylommatophora; Enidae. The record is from RNAcentral.